UGGGGAUUGGUGUAACGGUAACACGCUUGACUCUGAAUCAAGUAUUAUAGGUUCAAAUCCUAUAUCCCCAGCCA
Molecule: transfer RNA, 74 nt
Filed under: Rhodospirillaceae bacterium
Lineage: Bacteria; Pseudomonadati; Pseudomonadota; Alphaproteobacteria; Rhodospirillales; Rhodospirillaceae
Description: tRNA-Gln
Rfam family: tRNA
About the family: Transfer RNA (tRNA) molecules are approximately 80 nucleotides in length. Their secondary structure includes four short double-helical elements and three loops (D, anti-codon, and T loops).
Source: RNAcentral